AUUGAACGCUGGCGGCAGGCCUAACACAUGCAAGUCGAACGGUAACAGGAAACAGCUUGCUGUUUCGCUGACGAGUGGCGGACGGGUGAGUCAUGUCUGGGAAACUGCCUGAUGGAGGGGGAUAACUACUGGAAACGGUAGCUAAUACCGCAUAACGUCGCAAGCCCAAAGAGGGGGACCUUCGGGCCUCUUGCCAUCGGAUGUGCCCAGAUGGGAUUAGCUAGUAGGUGGGGUAACGGCUCACCUAGGCGACGAUCCCUAGCUGGUCUGAGAGGAUGACCAGCCACACUGGAACUGAGACACGGUCCAGACUCCUACGGGAGGCAGCAGUGGGGAAUAUUGCACAAAGGGCGCAAGCCUGAUGCAGCCAUGCCGCGUAUAUGAAGAAGGCCUUCGGGUUGUAAAGUACUUUCAGCGGGGAGGAAGGGAGUAAAGUUAAUACCUUGGCUCAUUGACGUUACCCGCAGAAGAAGCACCGGCUAACUCCGUG
RNAcentral lists this ribosomal RNA (490 nucleotides) under uncultured bacterium. Its description in RNAcentral is "partial 16S ribosomal RNA". It matches the Rfam family "Bacterial small subunit ribosomal RNA", at positions 30 to 507 of the family's 1533-position model. The record is from RNAcentral.